RNAcentral lists this unclassified non-coding RNA (1300 nucleotides) under Hevea brasiliensis (rubber tree). Lineage: Eukaryota; Viridiplantae; Streptophyta; Magnoliopsida; Malpighiales; Euphorbiaceae. The record is from RNAcentral.
UCUGUUCAUUUUUUUUUUCCUUUUUUUGUUUUCCUUUAAGAAACUUCUCAAGGAAUUGAGUGUAAGCAAUUUCUCUGGUCCAUGAAAGUUGAAAUAAUUAGACUCAUAAAGGUUCACUGUUAAAGUUUGUCCUGUCAUAUGUAUGAAUUGUACACUGGUGAAUUUCCGAAAUUUUGGCAUAAGCAUGUUGUCUAUUUUUCCUCUUCUAGUGCUGUAGCAUUGCUCAUCUUGAAUUAGGAUAACACUAUUUACAUUUUCUUCGCUAAAUUUGAAGCUAGUAAAGUCACUUCUUCGUGUUGCAGAUAUCACAUGACUGAGGAGCAGCAGUUGCUCUUGGGCAAUAGGCUGGGGUUUGUUUUCAGGUCUUAAGUCUAUAUAUUGCUUAGAAAGGAAAUGAGUAAUAGUAUAACUACACACAUUUGCAUAAUGAUAUGAUUCUCUGUUACUCCGUUAUUCAAUUAAUGCAUAUAUAAUAUAAAGGAAUGGUAUAUGGAUCUGUGCAUUGAUUUAUAUAUUACUGGUGUUUAGUGUUGAGCAAUCAUAUGGUCUAAUGAGUGUAGUAGAUCCCAAGUUUGCUGCAAAAGAGUAAGGACCAUUAUAUUUGCAUAAUGAUGUAUUUGUGGAAUUGACAGUAGAGUGAGUGACAGCAGUGAGAGAUUGUAAAAGAGGAGCACUAGAGUUCAUAAAACUAUGUAUCUUUCUACUAGUCAUUUGUAAGGAACGGCAAUAUAUCAUUAAAAGUAAUUUAUACAGCCUUUUCAAUGCAUGAAAAUUUAAAUAUCUAUUGCUUCAUAUAUGAGCUCCCUUUUUUGUCGUCGUUUCGGUGUUCUUUCUGGUUUGGCAAGCAAACUAGAAAAUUUUGGAAAUCAGGAGGAUUAUGUCUGGGAAGAUUGACAAAGUUUAGAUGAGCAUGUUCUAGUAUAGAUUUUAAAAUUGAUGUCACAAUGUAUUUGACAUUUUUACAGCCACAUCAGCGGGGUAAUAAAUGGCUUUUGUAGCAACUGCCGAAGCUUGUGAUUCAAAUGCAGCCCUUUUGGCAAGUGGUGACUUGCGAGCUUUACAACCGAUUUUCAAGAAUUAUGGCCAGAGUCGAGCAUUCUCAGGCCUCAUUGUCACUCUUAAGGUGUUUGAAGACAAUGUGAUAGUGAGGGAGCUUCUUGAAACUAAAGGUGAAGGAAGAGUUCUAGUUAUAGAUGGUGGGGGAAGCAUGAGAUGUGCUUUGGUUGGAGGAAAUCUGGGACAAUUGGCUCAAAAUAUGGGAUGGGCUGGUAUUCUAGUCAAUGGUUGCAUAAGAGAUGUG